UCCGGUUUGAAACCGGCAGUCGCGUUAGACAUGGUAACUAACGCCGAGGGUUGCGCUCAUACGGGACAUGUCAAAGGUUGGUAAGGUUCUGCGCGUUGCUUCGAAUUGAACCACAUGCUCCACCGCUUGUGCGGGCCCCCGUCAAUUCCUUUGAGUUUUAAUCUUGCGACCGUACUCCCCAGGCGGGAUGCUUAAUGCGUUAGCUGCGCCACUGACAGGCAAGCCUGCCAACGGCUAGCAUCCAUCGUUUACGGCGUGGACUAC
Molecule: unclassified non-coding RNA, 264 nt
Filed under: uncultured Alphaproteobacteria bacterium
Lineage: Bacteria; Pseudomonadati; Pseudomonadota; Alphaproteobacteria
Description: contains 16S-23S intergenic spacer region
Source: RNAcentral